GGGUUGUGAGGUUAAGCGACUAAGCGUACACGGUGGAUGCCCUGGCAGUCAGAGGCGAUGAAGGGCGUGCUAAUCUGCGAUAAGCGCCGGUAAGGUGAUAUGAACCGUUAUAACCGGCGAUACCCGAAUGGGGAAACCCAGUGUGAUUCGUCACACUAUCAUUAACUGAAUCCAUAGGUUAAUGAGGCGAACCGGGGGAACUGAAACAUCUAAGUACCCCGAGGAAAAGAAAUCAACCGAGAUUCCCCCAGUAGCGGCGAGCGAACGGGGAGGAGCCCAGAGCCUGAAUCAGCAUGUGUGUUAGUGGAAGCGUCUGGAAAGGCGCGCGAUACAGGGUGACAGCCCCGUACACAAAAGCGCAUGUGCUGUGAGCUCGAUGAGUAGGGCGGGACACGUGGUAUCCUGUCUGAAUAUGGGGGGACCAUCCUCCAAGGCUAAAUACUCCUGACUGACCGAUAGUGAACCAGUACCGUGAGGGAAAGGCGAAAAGAACCCCGGCGAGGGGAGUGAAAAAGAACCUGAAACCGUGUACGUACAAGCAGUGGGAGCACAGGUUUACCUGUGUGACUGCGUACCUUUUGUAUAAUGGGUCAGCGACUUAUAUUCUGUAGCAAGGUUAACCGAAUAGGGGAGCCGGAGGGAAACCGAGUCUUAAUUGGGCGUUAAGUUGCAGGGUAUAGACCCGAAACCCGGUGAUCUAGCCAUGGGCAGGUUGAAGGUUGGGUAACACUAACUGGAGGACCGAACCGACUAAUGUUGAAAAAUUAGCGGAUGACCUGUGGCUGGGGGUGAAAGGCCAAUCAAACCGGGAGAUAGCUGGUUCUCCCCGAAAGCUAUUUAGGUAGCGCCUCGUGAAUUCAUCUCCGGGGGUAGAGCACUGUUUCGGCUAGGGGGCCAUCCCGGCUUACCAACCCGAUGCAAACUGCGAAUACCGGAGAAUGUUAUCACGGGAGACACACGGCGGGUGCUAACGUCCGUCGUGAAGAGGGAAACAACCCAGACCGCCAGCUAAGGUCCCAAAGUCAUGGUUAAGUGGGAAACGAUGUGGGAAGGCCCAGACAGCCAGGAUGUUGGCUUAGAAGCAGCCAUCAUUUAAAGAAAGCGUAAUAGCUCACUGGUCGAGUCGGCCUGCGCGGAAGAUGUAACGGGGCUAAACCAUGCACCGAAGCUGCGGCAGCGACGCUUAUGCGUUGUUGGGUAGGGGAGCGUUCUGUAAGCCUGUGAAGGUGGCCUGUGAGGGUUGCUGGAGGUAUCAGAAGUGCGAAUGCUGACAUAAGUAACGAUAAAGCGGGUGAAAAGCCCGCUCGCCGGAAGACCAAGGGUUCCUGUCCAACGUUAAUCGGGGCAGGGUGAGUCGACCCCUAAGGCGAGGCCGAAAGGCGUAGUCGAUGGGAAACGGGUUAAUAUUCCCGUACUUGGUGUUACUGCGAAGGGGGGACGGAGAAGGCUAUGUUGGCCGGGCGACGGUUGUCCCGGUUUAAGCGUGUAGGUGUGUGUUCCAGGUAAAUCCGGUUCACUUUAACACUGAGGCGUGAUGACGAGGCACUACGGUGCUGAAGUAACAAAUGCCCUGCUUCCAGGAAAAGCCUCUAAGCAUCAGGUAACAUCAAAUCGUACCCCAAACCGACACAGGUGGUCAGGUAGAGAAUACCAAGGCGCUUGAGAGAACUCGGGUGAAGGAACUAGGCAAAAUGGUGCCGUAACUUCGGGAGAAGGCACGCUGACACGUAGGUGAAGUGAUUUACUCACGGAGCUGAAGUCAGUCGAAGAUACCAGCUGGCUGCAACUGUUUAUUAAAAACACAGCACUGUGCAAACACGAAAGUGGACGUAUACGGUGUGACGCCUGCCCGGUGCCGGAAGGUUAAUUGAUGGGGUCAGCGCAAGCGAAGCUCCUGAUCGAAGCCCCGGUAAACGGCGGCCGUAACUAUAACGGUCCUAAGGUAGCGAAAUUCCUUGUCGGGUAAGUUCCGACCUGCACGAAUGGCGUAAUGAUGGCCAGGCUGUCUCCACCCGAGACUCAGUGAAAUUGAACUCGCUGUGAAGAUGCAGUGUACCCGCGGCAAGACGGAAAGACCCCGUGAACCUUUACUAUAGCUUGACACUGAACAUUGAGCCUUGAUGUGUAGGAUAGGUGGGAGGCUUUGAAGUGUGGACGCCAGUCUGCAUGGAGCCGACCUUGAAAUACCACCCUUUAAUGUUUGAUGUUCUAACGUGGACCCGUUACCCGGGUUGCGGACAGUGUCUGGUGGGUAGUUUGACUGGGGCGGUCUCCUCCUAAAGAGUAACGGAGGAGCACGAAGGUUGGCUAAUCCUGGUCGGACAUCAGGAGGUUAGUGCAAUGGCAUAAGCCAGCUUGACUGCGAGCGUGACGGCGCGAGCAGGUGCGAAAGCAGGUCAUAGUGAUCCGGUGGUUCUGAAUGGAAGGGCCAUCGCUCAACGGAUAAAAGGUACUCCGGGGAUAACAGGCUGAUACCGCCCAAGAGUUCAUAUCGACGGCGGUGUUUGGCACCUCGAUGUCGGCUCAUCACAUCCUGGGGCUGAAGUAGGUCCCAAGGGUAUGGCUGUUCGCCAUUUAAAGUGGUACGCGAGCUGGGUUUAGAACGUCGUGAGACAGUUCGGUCCCUAUCUGCCGUGGGCGCUGGAGAACUGAGGGGGGCUGCUCCUAGUACGAGAGGACCGGAGUGGACGCAUCACUGGUGUUCGGGUUGUCAUGCCAAUGGCACUGCCCGGUAGCUAAAUGCGGAAGAGAUAAGUGCUGAAAGCAUCUAAGCACGAAACUUGCCCCGAGAUGAGUUCUCCCUGAGACUUAAAGUCUCCUGAAGGAACGUUGAAGACGACGACGUUGAUAGGCCGGGUGUGUAAGCGCAGCGAUGCGUUGAGCUAACCGGUACUAAUGAACCGUGAGGCUUAACCUUACAACGCCGAAG
Molecule: ribosomal RNA, 2929 nt
Filed under: Salmonella enterica subsp. enterica serovar Dublin
Lineage: Bacteria; Pseudomonadati; Pseudomonadota; Gammaproteobacteria; Enterobacterales; Enterobacteriaceae
Description: bacterial LSU rRNA
Rfam family: Bacterial large subunit ribosomal RNA
Source: RNAcentral